UACGGAGGAUGCAAGCGUUAUCCGGAUUUAUUGGGUUUAAAGGGUGCGCAGGCGGGAUUAUAAGUCAGUGGUGAAAUCUUGCAGCUCAACUGUAAAAUUGCCAUUGAUACUGUAGUUCUUGAGUAUAGUUGAGGUAGGCGGAAUGUGUAAUGUAGCGGUGAAAUGCUUAGAUAUUACACAGAACACCGAUUGCGUAGGCAGCUUACUAAGCUAUUACUGACGCUCAUGCACGAAAGCGUGGGGAUCGAACAGG
RNAcentral lists this ribosomal RNA (253 nucleotides) under uncultured bacterium. RNAcentral's name for it is "partial 16S ribosomal RNA". It matches the Rfam family "Bacterial small subunit ribosomal RNA", at positions 524 to 776 of the family's 1533-position model. The record is from RNAcentral.